Molecule: ribosomal RNA, 253 nt
Filed under: uncultured bacterium
Lineage: Bacteria
Description: partial 16S ribosomal RNA
Rfam family: Bacterial small subunit ribosomal RNA
Source: RNAcentral
UACGUAGGGUGCGAGCGUUGUCCGGAAUUACUGGGCGUAAAGGGCUCGUAGGCGGCCAACUAAGUCGGACGUGAAAUCCCUCGGCUUAACUGGGGAACUGCGUCCGAUACUGGAUGGCUUGAGUUCGGGAGAGGGAUGUGGAAUUCCAGGUGUAGCGGUGAAAUGCGUAGAUAUCUGGAGGAACACCGGUGGCGAAGGCGGCAUCCUGGACCGACACUGACGCUGAUGAGCGAAAGCCAGGGGAGCAAACGGG